Molecule: unclassified non-coding RNA, 395 nt
Filed under: soil metagenome
Description: partial contains 5.8S ribosomal RNA, internal transcribed spacer 2, and large subunit ribosomal RNA
Rfam family: 5.8S ribosomal RNA (bases 1-122)
Source: RNAcentral
GAUGAAGAACGUAGCGAAAUGCGAUACUUGGUGUGAAUUGCAGAAUCCCGUGAACCAUCGAGUCUUUGAACGCAAGUUGCGCCCGAAGCCAUCAGGUUGAGGGCACGUCUGCCUAGGCGUCACAUAUCGUUGCCCAAUGCCUAUUGCAGUGCAAUAGGAAUUUCUAGGGCGAAUGAUGGCUUCCCGUGAGCGUUGUUGCCUCGCGGUUGGUUGAAAAUCGAGUCCUUGGUAGGGUGUGCCAUGGUAGAUGGUGGUCGAGUUAGAACGAUACCGAUCAUGUGCAUGCUCCCCAAAAUAUGGCCUCUAUGACCCACACGCGUCUUUUGACGCUUAUGACGAGACCUCAGGUCAGGCGGGGCUACCCGCUGAAUUUAAGCAUAUCAAUAAGCGGAGGA